This 100-nucleotide non-coding RNA is filed under the name Peromyscus maniculatus bairdii (prairie deer mouse). The record is from RNAcentral. Lineage: Eukaryota; Metazoa; Chordata; Mammalia; Rodentia; Cricetidae.
GUGUUUUAUGCAAGGAGAGAAAAACAGCACUCCCCUCGACAAAGAAGGGCCUAACAACAGGGCCUGUGGUUAAGGCAGUGCCAUGUGAUGACUGUUUUUU